UUGAACGCUGGCGGCAUGCUUUACACAUGCAAGUCGAACGGUAACAGGUUAAGCUGACGAGUGGCGAACGGGUGAGUAAUGCAUCGGAACGUGCCCGAUCGUGGGGGAUAACGCAGCGAAAGCUGCGCUAAUACCGCAUACGAUCUGAGGAUGAAAGCGGGGGAUCGCAAGACCUCGCGCGAUUGGAGCGGCCGAUAUCGGAUUAGCUAGUUGGUGAGGUAAAGGCUCACCAAGGCGACGAUCCGUAGCGGGUCUGAGAGGACGACCCGCCACACUGGAACUGAGACACGGUCCAGACUCCUACGGGAGGCAGCAGUGGGGAAUUUUGGACAAUGGGGGAAACCCUGAUCCAGCCAUUCCGCGUGAGUGAAGAAGGCCUUCGGGUUGUAAAGCUCUUUCAGCAGGAACGAAACGGUCGGCUUUAAUAAAGUCGGCUAAUGACGGUACCUGCAGAAGAAGCACCGGCUAACUACGU
This 475-nucleotide ribosomal RNA is filed under the name uncultured bacterium. Its description in RNAcentral is "bacterial SSU rRNA". It matches the Rfam family "Bacterial small subunit ribosomal RNA", at positions 30 to 506 of the family's 1533-position model. The record is from RNAcentral.